CCAGAGAACUUAGCAGAGAUGCUUUGGUGCCUUCGGGAACUCUGAGACAGGUGCUGCAUGGCUGUCGUCAGCUCGUGUUGUGAAAUGUUGGUUAAGUCCCGCAACGAGCGCAACCCUUAUCCUUUGUUGCCAGCGGCUCGGCCGGGAACUCAAAGGAGACUGCCGGUGAUAAACCGGAGGAAGGUGGGGAUGACGUCAAGUCAUCAUGGCCCUUACGGCCAGGGCUACACACGUGCUACAAUGGCGCAUACAAAGAGAAGCGACCUCGCGAGAGCAAGCGGACCUCAUAAAGUGCGUCGUAGUCCGGAUUGGAGUCUGCAACUCGACUCCAUGAAGUCGGAAUCGCUAGUAAUCGUAGAUCAGAAUGCUACGGUGAAUACGUUCCCGGGCCUUGUACACACCGCCCGUCACACCAUGGGAGUGGGUUGCAAAAGAAGUAGGUAGCUUAACCUUCGGGAGGGCGCUUACCACUUUGUGAUUCAUGACUGGGGUGAAGUCGUAACAAGGUAGGCGUAGCGAG
This 520-nucleotide ribosomal RNA is filed under the name uncultured bacterium. RNAcentral's name for it is "bacterial SSU rRNA". It matches the Rfam family "Bacterial small subunit ribosomal RNA", at positions 988 to 1509 of the family's 1533-position model. The record is from RNAcentral.